This 253-nucleotide ribosomal RNA is filed under the name uncultured bacterium. RNAcentral's name for it is "partial 16S ribosomal RNA". It matches the Rfam family "Bacterial small subunit ribosomal RNA", at positions 524 to 776 of the family's 1533-position model. The record is from RNAcentral.
UACGGAGGGUGCAAGCGUUAAUCGGAAUUACUGGGCGUAAAGGGCGCGUAGGUGGUUAUAUAAGUUGGCUGUGAAAUCCCUGUGCUUAACGUGGGGCGGCCAGCCAUAACUGUAUGACUAGAGGUUAUGAGAGGGUAGUGGAAUUUCAGGUGUAGCGGUGAAAUGCGUAGAGAUCUGAAGGAACACCAGUGGCGAAGGCGACUACCUGGCAUAAACCUGACACUGAGGCGCGAAAGCGUGGGGAGCAAACAGG